RNAcentral lists this ribosomal RNA (557 nucleotides) under Aureococcus anophagefferens. RNAcentral's name for it is "LSU rRNA". It matches the Rfam family "Eukaryotic large subunit ribosomal RNA", at positions 43 to 651 of the family's 3401-position model. The record is from RNAcentral. Lineage: Eukaryota; Pelagophyceae; Pelagomonadales; Pelagomonadaceae.
UAACUAAGCGGAGGAAAAGAAACUAACAAGGAUUCCCCUAGUAAGGGCGACUGAAGCGGGAUCAGCCCAGAUUGUAAACUGACCUUAUAYAAGGUUGGGUUGUAGUCUAAAGAGGCGACGCCAGGCAAGGUCCGGGGAGAAGUCCCUUGGAACAGGGCAUCGGAGAGGGUGACAAUCCCGUCUGUGCCUCGGACCGCGUCGUACGGUGCGUCUUCGACGAGUCGGUUUGCUUGGGAUUGCAGACCAAACGGGUGGUAAAUUCCAUCUAAGGCUAAAUACGGGUGGGAGACCGAUAGCGAACAAGUACCGUGAGGGAAAGAUGCAAAGAACUUUGAAAAGAGAGUUAAAAAGGGCCUGAAACUGGUAAGAGGGAACCGAACGGCARAAGUGGUGAUGGGCGCGUAUUUUCCGCCGGGCUCUUGGCCGGCGUACUUGUGCGCGUCCGUAGGUCAGCGUGGGUUGGGGCGUGGGAGUCGUUCAUGGGAAGGUCUUCGGGCCAAUCUCGUGUUCAGGCCGCGCCUGAGACCUUCGGUGACAAAAUUCUUCCGUUCCCCCCG